Long non-coding RNA from Anguilla rostrata (American eel), 731 nucleotides. RefSeq lists it as uncharacterized. NCBI's taxonomy places the organism in Eukaryota, Metazoa, Chordata, Actinopteri, Anguilliformes, Anguillidae. The transcript has 3 exons. The record is from RefSeq and is a predicted model, not a curated record.
AGUAUAUAGAAAAUGAAUUCAGCCCAUUAUGUGUUGUAUUGUCGCUAACACCAUGUCAUAUCAGGGGGGAAAAUGGACGUUUAUUAAUCACAUCAGAAGCAAUCAAAUACUUAUUCACUUCGGAAGAGCUUAUUAUAAGGACAAUACAAAGAUUUUCAAAGGCAGCUGUAGUGUAUUGCUAUCGUGGGUAAUUUAGUCUUUUUUUUUUUUUCUUUGAAAGAGUAAGCCACAGCGAAAAUUUGUCUUCUGGCCGGGAUAUCGAUUGCCAUUCAGGUCAAACCACAAAGCACUUAGUCUUUAACUGGAAACACGUUUGAACAUUAAUUUUUAAUGCCCUGUUUUAUUCCCCCCAUUUUGGUAACUUUGUUCACUCUACUCAUGAUACGCUAUUUAAAAAGAAAACAAAAAUAACAGUUCUUCAAAUUGUUUUCUCGAAUAGAGGCCAUAGUCAAAUGUAUAUUUUGUGUCUCGUGAAAAUCAGUAUCUGCAGUAGAUUUCCUCGCGUAGGCUAAUUGAGACACAGUGUCAAAUGUGUGUGAUGUCCACCUCCACACAGCUGUCAGCAGAUGUUUCUGUUUCUAAUGGAGUUCAGACUCCCAGAGGCUUCAACUCAGAGCGGUAUGCAAGAUUUUCACAAGGGGAUAUAUCGCCGCUUAACCACUAAGAUGGUGAUUUUAGAUCUAAGGUCCGAUUCAAAUUAAUGCAUGUCCAUUAAAAUCUCUUCGUAUAUA